This 1195-nucleotide long non-coding RNA is filed under the name Mytilus galloprovincialis (Mediterranean mussel). The record is from RNAcentral. Lineage: Eukaryota; Metazoa; Mollusca; Bivalvia; Mytilida; Mytilidae.
GGAAUUGACCAUUAAAACAUAAAAUGGUAUACUCUUUAACAACUUAUAAAGUCUGCAAAAUUAAAAAAAAAAACAAAAAACAAACCCCAACUUAACAAAUGAAUAAAAUAAAACCCAACAACAAAUAAUUCAAACGCCCUUUAAAAAUAUUACAAGUGACACGGAAAUUAUGGCAUACGCGUGAUAACAGAUUAUCCUAUCCUUUUUUUUUUUUUUUUUUUUUUUAACUUUUUUACAUAACGUAUAACGAAUAGUUAUCAAAGGUACCAGGAUUAUAAUUCAGUACGCCAGACGCGCGUUUCGUCUACAUAAGACUCAUCAGUGACGCUCAUAUCAAAAUAUUUAUAAAGCCAAACAAGUACAAAGUUGAAGAGCAUUGCCGAUCCAAAAUUCCAAAAAGUUGUGCUAAAAGGAUAUCAAAUAUAACAGUAUACAUCAUGUUAUUCUACUCGUUGUUUGGUAAAAGCCAGUAAACUUCCGAUGUUUCGUAUUCUCUAGAUGUCUUGAAGUAUCAAUAAAUACAUCUCCAUAUUUUCUCAGCUACAAUUUAAACAUUUUAUAUUUAAAAAAAUAUUAUUUUAAAAGUAAUGAUCGUACAGUUUUUGUUAAAUUAUGCUGAACGUCUUACCCGAGACUUUCUAGUCGGAUUUGUCUAUUUAAGAAAUAAUUCAUGGAAGCCAUAGAUUUGUUGGAAAUUUACACAUGACCUGGGCCGUGAUAUUCGAAUUUUAUCCUGAGCGUUAGCGAGGGAUAAAAUUAACGAAUAUCACGGCCCAGGCCAUGUGUAAAUUUACAACAAAUCUAUGGCUUCCAUGAAUUAUUUCGAUUCUAAUAGGACAAAUACGAUCAUUAAAAAACUGAAGCGAUGAUGGGUAUACCGUGUGUGUGGCUGUUCUAUUUUACCCACUGUUCGAUAAAUGUAAAACAAAUCUAAUAAACCUGCAUGAAUGAUUUCUUAACUAACCGCUAGAAAAAAAAAUGUGAUUACUUUUUUUACUUCUCAGUAAACCCAACAUUUGCAAUUUUAAAUUUACAUUUUUUAUCGUAAGCUACCGUCAAAUUCACUGUUGACAUGUUGUAACCAAGGAGCCGCCAUGUUGACUUGCUGAAAUCAGUAAAUGUGCGAAUAAUGCGAUAGAACAGAAAACAAGCAACACCUACCUCAAUACUUUAUUUUAAUGCAAUUGUAUCCGAG